UACGGAGGAUCCGAGCGUUAUCCGGAUUUAUUGGGUUUAAAGGGUGCGCAGGCGGGAGAUUAAGUCGGCGGUGAAAUUUUGCAGCUCAACUGUAAAAGUGCCUUCGAAACUGGUUUCCUUGAGUGUGGAUGAAGUAGGCGGAAUUUGUGGUGUAGCGGUGAAAUGCAUAGAUAUCACGAGGAACUCCGAUUGCGCAGGCAGCUUACUAAACCAUAACUGACGCUCAGGCACGAAGGCGUGGGGAUCAAACAGGAUUAGAUACCCCCGGUAGU
RNAcentral lists this ribosomal RNA (272 nucleotides) under uncultured prokaryote. RNAcentral's name for it is "partial 16S ribosomal RNA". It matches the Rfam family "Bacterial small subunit ribosomal RNA", at positions 524 to 794 of the family's 1533-position model. The record is from RNAcentral.